This is a long non-coding RNA of Diprion similis, 226 nucleotides long. RefSeq lists it as uncharacterized. NCBI's taxonomy places the organism in Eukaryota, Metazoa, Arthropoda, Insecta, Hymenoptera, Diprionidae. The record is from RefSeq and is a predicted model, not a curated record. The transcript is spliced from 2 exons.
UAUCUACGUACAUAAUAUAUAUAUAUAUAUAUAUAUAUAUUUCAAUUUUAUAUAUACCUUCACGUAUCGUAUGUACAUAGAAGAAAUGAGAGUUUAUUAUUAUAUUGAUUAAAUUUAUAAUCAUCUGAGAGAAGAUAUAGAAAUAGGUGAGGGGAGGAAGAGAAGUCUAGAAGUGACGAAUUCGUAAAAGAAUAAAAAUCAAAGAAAAGUAUUCACUAAAAAAAAA